AUGCACGCUGGCGGCGUGCCUAAUACAUGCCAGUCGAGCGAACAGACGAGGAGCUUGCUCCUCUGACGUUAGCGGCGGACGGGUGAGUAACACGUGGAUAACCUACCUAUAAGACUGGGAUAACUUCGGGAAACCGGAGCUAAUACCGGAUAAUAUAUUGAACCGCAUGGUUCCAUAGUGAAAGACGGUUUUGCUGUCACUUAUAGAUGGAUCCGCGCCGCAUUAGCUAGUUGGUAAGGUAACGGCUUACCAAGGCAACGAUGCGUAGCCGACCUGAGAGGGUGAUCGGCCACACUGGAACUGAGACACGGUCCAGACUCCUACGGGAGGCAGCAGUAGGGAAUCUUCCGCAAUGGGCGAAAGCCUGACGGAGCAACGCCGCGUGAGUGAUGAAGGUCUUCGGAUCGUAAAACUCUGUUAUUAGGGAAGAACAAAUGUGUAAGUAACUAUGCACGUCUUGACGGUACCUAAUCAGAAAGCCACGGCUAACUACGUG
RNAcentral lists this ribosomal RNA (496 nucleotides) under uncultured bacterium. RNAcentral's name for it is "partial 16S ribosomal RNA". It matches the Rfam family "Bacterial small subunit ribosomal RNA", at positions 29 to 507 of the family's 1533-position model. The record is from RNAcentral.